This 404-nucleotide long non-coding RNA is filed under the name Coffea arabica (coffee). RNAcentral's name for it is "long non-coding RNA (CARA_LNC003308)". Lineage: Eukaryota; Viridiplantae; Streptophyta; Magnoliopsida; Gentianales; Rubiaceae. The record is from RNAcentral.
CACUACACCCGGGAAGACAAUCGAAGGCAUCUUUUGAUGAUACAACAGAUGCUAAAUGUCUUACUCUGUUUAUCUACUAGAGCGAACGAGCUCUUGUUCUUCUUCUAGGACCAUAAAACAGAAGAAAAAAUGGUGGAAUACAUCAAGUGUGUACUCUGAUACACAUAUCUUCAAUAAUUUCCAUAUUUCCUUCUUUCAUUGGCUUCUUCGUCACAAGAAUCUAUGACAAAAUUUGGGGCAAUUUUUCUGGUAAAGCAGAGUGGUUGAGUUCCAUGAUGCUUUUAAGUUUAGGGGCGUAGAGGGAAUAGACUACGGCCUGUCUUUUGGCGACUUAUAGCUGGGACUUGCCAUCGGCGAAGGCCGUACAGAUUGACGAUGGGUCGGAGAUGUCCUUGUUGUGGCGA